Long non-coding RNA from Drosophila montana, 853 nucleotides. RefSeq lists it as uncharacterized. The transcript has 3 exons. The record is from RefSeq and is a predicted model, not a curated record. Lineage: Eukaryota; Metazoa; Arthropoda; Insecta; Diptera; Drosophilidae.
UUGAAAUUUAAAUAAAAACUGUCGAUGCUCAAGUGAAGUUCCCAGUGCUCCACUUGCUGCCCACUCAGCUCUGGCGCGUUCUCCACCCCGCUCUGUGCCUGUGCGUCUCUGUCGAAGCGUAAAAUAUUAUGUCAUUAUCAAGGAAACGCAAUAAAUUUCUCUGGACGCGCGCCACUGACGAGUGCCACUCAAAGACGGGACCACCGCGGCGUUAUUAUCUUGGAUUUGGCAUGCGUUGCGCCUGGCAUCUAAUUACAGAAACAGGAGCUGCGCUCAGGAGCCAGCGACAGGAGGUGACGUUGGAUAUUCAAAUGCGGCCAGAAUAUGCGGCGUUAAGCUGUGAAUGACACCCGUUGCCUUGGCCGCGCCUUUGUGCCGCCUGUCCAGUGGCCCUGGCAACUGUUGCCACUGGGCAGGGCUUGGCGCUCGGGCGGGCAAUACAAGUCAUUAAGCUGCUGUAAUUGCUGCGGCCCGACUUAUCAGUCGAGCUGGACCCAAUAACCAUAUAUUUACGGAGUAACUUCUUUUGCUGAUCUCACCCGCAACCCCUGUUGUUUUUAUUGCCAACAACUUUCAGUUGAUUUGUGCCAUGGGCGAGACCACACCCACACCCACUCGCAGCUCAUAUCCGAGUUUCAUAAAGGAAAUGACAUUUUUCUACGGCACUUUUCGCAAACAACAUUUUUGCCGAUUGACAUAUAUCACCUCCAGUUUCGCAUCUCUGGCUCGACGCUUAACGUUCCACAUUUCCGGUUUUGGUUUUUCCCGUUGACUGCUUCGAGGAUGACGCAGCGGCGGCGGCGUUGGCCGCUUUUCUUGGCUUGUGGCAUAAGUCGAUUAUAUGCGGAAAUGA